Long non-coding RNA from Oncorhynchus tshawytscha (Chinook salmon), 1560 nucleotides. The record is from Ensembl. NCBI's taxonomy places the organism in Eukaryota, Metazoa, Chordata, Actinopteri, Salmoniformes, Salmonidae.
CUUACUUACAGGCCCUUCCCAACAAUGCAGAGAAAAAAAAUAGAAAUUAUAGAAAAAAUAAUAACACAAUGAAUAACUGAGUCGAUGUGUCUGGGUACGAGGUAAUUGAGGUAGAGGUGUACAUAUAGGUAGGGAUAAAGUGACUAGGCAAUAUGAUAGGAAUUAGACAGUAGCAGCAGUGUAUGUGAGGAGUCAAAAGAGCAAAAAGAGUCUGUCAGAUAGUUGGUAGCAGAGAGAACCAUUUUUGAAUUGGGUGGCUGGAGUCUUUGACCAUUUUUAGGGCCUUCCAUAAGAAUUCAUAGUUGUGGAAUGGGAAGGUCACAAACCUACGUAGACAAGGAGUGUGGCGGUCAUAUGACUUCAUAAGCUAGUGUUGUGAAUGAGGUCAUCAGUUGUCAUAUAGGAGCAGUGUUGAGAUUACUGCAGAGCGGCUAUGAGCAUGGUUGAGAGUUGUUUAUGUUAAAGCAAAAGAUGGUGGCCACUGGCCAGAACAAAAUCUGCAAUGCUAGGUGGUUUGGAGGUUAUAAGCCUGGAUUUCACAAGUCUGCAUAGGCAAAGAGCAUGGCUUUUAUAAUCAUGUAUAGCUGGGGGCUGUUGAGGUUAUUAUGUCUAGGUCUUCAUGCUCCCGAAUGGCACAGCGGUCUAAGGCACUGCGUCACAGUGUCACUACAUACCCUGGUUCGAUUCCAGGCUCUAUCACAACCGGCUGUGAUUGGGAGUCCCAUAGCGCGGUGCACAAUUGGCCCAGUGUCGUCUGGGUUAGGGUAGGCUGUCAUUGUAAAUAAGAAUUUGUUCUUAACUGACUUGCCUAGUUAAAUGUGAUAGUCUGUUUGUUGGCCCCCUUUCUCCUCUUGUGAGGUCUGCUAUGCUGCAGUGUGUGUGUGUGUGUGUGUGUGUGUGUGUGUGUGUGUGUGUGUGUGUGUGUGUGCAGGCAAGAGAAAUGUGGCUCAGGUGUGAUUUUAGGUGGAAUGCUUUGAUGAUUGAGGCCCUUGAUCCGAGCGUUUUUCAGGGUUCUCCGUCCAGUGUUUGUGUGUCUGUGUUCUACUUUGAGAGUGACCAAGAGCUCACAGAAGCCCAGAGAGAGAGCAGUGUAAACUCAGCACCUCUCAUUACCAGCUUGUUUGCAGUAAAGUUCUCAGACACACACUGCCACUCAGUCUGCUACUGUAGAAGCUAACGUUAACCCUUUCUUCACUGUAUCCCACAACCUCCUAUAUCACACUACUCUGUUUACAGUCUUCUGUGGGUGGAGUCAUAACCUUGCUGUGACUUUGACACCUUCCACGGAGACAGGGAAUGCACUAUAAAAGGGCGGGACCUUUGAUACGGUAUACCAUGUUAACAUUUACAGGUCACACUGCCCUCAGUUCGUUACACAUUGUAUUUGAUUUAGGACCCUGAAGGCACCUCAUAAGGGACACAUGGAAUUACAACACAUGCAUAACACAUUACAGACGUGAUACUUUUAGCAGGAGAGGUUUUGGACCUAUGAGUACAGCGGGAAUGGUCCGUCUUGAAGAGUGAGGAAUGCUACUGUAUGGAAAUAGAACUGAAAGGCAG